GUGGGGAAUAUUGCGCAAUGGGGGCAACCCUGACGCAGCAACGCCGCGUGCGGGAUGACGGCCUUCGGGUUGUAAACCGCUUUCAGCAGGGAAGAACAUCGACGGUACCUGCAGAAGAAGCCCCGGCUAACUACGUGCCAGCAGCCGCGGUAAUACGUAGGGGGCGAGCGUUAUCCGGAUUCAUUGGGCGUAAAGCGCGCGUAGGCGGGUGCCUAAGCGGGACCUCUAACCUCGGGGCUCAACCCCGAGCCGGGUCCCGAACUGGGCGUCUCGAGUGCGGUAGGGGAGAUCGGAAUUCCCGGUGUAGCGGUGGAAUGCGCAGAUAUCGGGAAGAACACCGAUGGCGAAGGCAGAUCUCUGGGCCGCCACUGACGCUGAGGCGCGAAAGCUAGGGGAGCGAACAGGA
Molecule: ribosomal RNA, 406 nt
Filed under: uncultured bacterium
Lineage: Bacteria
Description: bacterial SSU rRNA
Rfam family: Bacterial small subunit ribosomal RNA
Source: RNAcentral